Molecule: non-coding RNA, 67 nt
Organism: Podarcis lilfordi (Lilford's wall lizard)
Lineage: Eukaryota; Metazoa; Chordata; Lepidosauria; Squamata; Lacertidae
Source: the annotation of a GenBank genome assembly
UCCCCCCAAUUAUAUAUAUAUAUAUAUAUAUAUAUAUAUAUAUAUAUAUAUAUUUGUUGGGGGGGGA